GUGAAUCAUCGAAUCUUUGAACGCAACUUGCGCUCUCUGGUAUUCCGGAGAGCAUGCCUGUUUGAGUGUCAUGAAAUCUCAACCAUUAGGGUUUCUUAAUGGCUUGGAUUUGGGUGUUGCCAGUCUCUUGGCUCACCUUAAAGGAGUUAGCGAGUUUAACAAUGUCGUCUGGCGUAAUAAGUUUCGCUGGUAAGACUUGUGAAGUUUGCUUCUAAUCGUCUUCGGACAAUUACUUUGACUCUGGCCUCAAAUCAGGUAGGACUACCCGCUGAACUUAAGCAUAUCAAUAAGCGGAGGA
This 298-nucleotide unclassified non-coding RNA is filed under the name Apiotrichum sp. RNAcentral's name for it is "partial contains 5.8S ribosomal RNA, internal transcribed spacer 2, and large subunit ribosomal RNA". The stretch from base 1 to 71 matches the Rfam family "5.8S ribosomal RNA", at positions 84 to 154 of the family's 154-position model. The record is from RNAcentral. Lineage: Eukaryota; Fungi; Basidiomycota; Tremellomycetes; Trichosporonales; Trichosporonaceae.